UACGGAGGGGGCUAGCGUUGUUCGGAAUUACUGGGCGUAAAGCGCACGUAGGCGGCUUUGUAAGUUAGAGGUGAAAGCCCAGGGCUCAACCCUGGAAUUGCCUUUAAGACUGCAUCGCUUGAACAUCGGAGAGGUAAGUGGAAUUCCGAGUGUAGAGGUGAAAUUCGUAGAUAUUCGGAAGAACACCAGUGGCGAAGGCGGGUCUCUGGACAGUUCCUGACACUGAGGCACGAAGGCCAGGGGAGCAAACGGG
RNAcentral lists this ribosomal RNA (253 nucleotides) under uncultured bacterium. RNAcentral's name for it is "partial 16S ribosomal RNA". It matches the Rfam family "Bacterial small subunit ribosomal RNA", at positions 524 to 776 of the family's 1533-position model. The record is from RNAcentral.